RNAcentral lists this transfer RNA (73 nucleotides) under Spirulina sp. DLM2.Bin59. Its description in RNAcentral is "tRNA-Ala". It matches the Rfam family "tRNA". From Rfam's summary of the family: Transfer RNA (tRNA) molecules are approximately 80 nucleotides in length. Their secondary structure includes four short double-helical elements and three loops (D, anti-codon, and T loops). Further hydrogen bonds mediate the characteristic L-shaped molecular structure. tRNAs have two regions of fundamental functional importance: the anti-codon, which is responsible for specific mRNA codon recognition, and the 3' end, to which the tRNAs corresponding amino acid is attached (by aminoacyl-tRNA synthetases). tRNAs cope with the degeneracy of the genetic code in two manners: having more than one tRNA (with a specific anti-codon) for a particular amino acid; and 'wobble' base-pairing, i.e. permitting non-standard base-pairing at the 3rd anti-codon position. The record is from RNAcentral. Lineage: Bacteria; Bacillati; Cyanobacteriota; Cyanophyceae; Spirulinales; Spirulinaceae. RNAcentral also lists the same sequence under 5 other names.
GGGGUUAUAGCUCAGUUGGUAGAGCACCUGCAUGGCAUGCAGGGGGUCAGCGGUUCGAAUCCGCUUAGCUCCA